Molecule: ribosomal RNA, 537 nt
Filed under: uncultured bacterium
Lineage: Bacteria
Description: bacterial SSU rRNA
Rfam family: Bacterial small subunit ribosomal RNA
Source: RNAcentral
GCGAACGGGUGAGUACCGCGUAUGCAACCUACCUUUGACUGGAGGAUAGCUCCGAGAAAUCGGGAUUAAUACUCCAUGAAACCACAACGAGGCAUCUCGAUGUGGUCAAAGCUUCGGCGGUCAAAGAUGGGCAUGCGUCCCAUUAGUUUGUUGGUGAGGUAACGGCUCACCAAGGCGACGAUGGGUAGGGGGCCUGAGAGGGUUGUCCCCCACACUGGUACUGAGACACGGACCAGACUCCUACGGGAGGCAGCAGUGAGGAAUCUUGGUCAAUGGGCGAAAGCCUGAACCAGCCAUGCCGCGUGCAGGAAGACUGCCCAAAAGGUUGUAAACUGCUUUUCUACGGGAAGAAACUCCCGAUUUCUAUCGGGACUGACGGUACUGUAGGAAUAAGCACCGGCUGACUCCGUGCCAGCAGCCGCGGUAAUACGGAGGGUGCAAGCGUUAUCCGGAAUCAUUGGGUUUAAAGGGUGCGUAGGCGGAGCAGUAAGUCAGUGGUGAAAGGCUACGGCUUAACCGUGGAAUUGCCAUUGAUAC